AGGGAGAGAUUCAAUGUUGAGAAAUGUAUCCCAAAAAGUCAAUCGUCAAGCUGUUGACGGUUGAGCAAUCAAGUAUUGUAAUUGAUUUGUUAAUAAAUAAAAUAUAUUUGGUAUUUUCAUCAUAAGCUUUCAUCUUCAAAUGAACUCCAUUGUUAUGAUGAAGUCCUUAGGACUAUUUAGAUUCAACAAAGAGAGGAUUUAUCGAUUAGUCCUUAAAACAGUUCACGACCAAAUGAUAGGCCCUCAAUAAGGACGACAGCUUCUAUCGAGCAUAGGUCGCUGUAGGCCAUAUGGGUUGG
This 299-nucleotide long non-coding RNA is filed under the name Elaeis guineensis (African oil palm). RNAcentral describes it as "long non-coding RNA (EGUI_LNC052189)". The record is from RNAcentral. Lineage: Eukaryota; Viridiplantae; Streptophyta; Magnoliopsida; Arecales; Arecaceae.